RNAcentral lists this ribosomal RNA (436 nucleotides) under uncultured bacterium. Its description in RNAcentral is "bacterial SSU rRNA". It matches the Rfam family "Bacterial small subunit ribosomal RNA", at positions 8 to 489 of the family's 1533-position model. The record is from RNAcentral.
AGAGUUUGAUCAUGGCUCAGAACGUACGCUGGCGGCACGCCUAACACAUGCAAGUCGAACGAAGUAGCAAUACUUAGUGGCAGACGGGUGAGUAACAUGUAGGUAUCUGCCCUUUGGCCUGGAAUAACACGAGGAAACUUGUGCUAAUACCGGAUAAGUCUUUACGGAGAAAGCUUUAUGCACCAUUGGAUGAGCCUGCACUUGAUUAGUUUGUUGGUAGGGUAAUGGCCUACCAAGACUGUGAUCAAUAGCUGAUUUGAGAGGAUGAUCAGCCACAUUGGGACUGAGACACGGCCCAAACUCCUACGGGAGGCAGCAGUGGGGAAUCUUGCACAAUGGAGGAAACUCUGAUGCAGCGAUGCCGCGUGAGUGAAGAAGGCCCUUGGGUUGUAAAGCUCUUUCGUCGGGGAAGAAAAGGACUGUACCCGAAUAAGAA